Molecule: ribosomal RNA, 417 nt
Filed under: uncultured bacterium
Lineage: Bacteria
Description: partial 16S ribosomal RNA
Rfam family: Bacterial small subunit ribosomal RNA
Source: RNAcentral
UGAGUAAUACAUCGGAACGUGUCCUGUAGUGGGGGAUAGCCCGGCGAAAGCCGGAUUAAUACCGCAUACGAUCUACGGAAGAAAGCGGGGGAUCCUUCGAGACCUCGCUCUAUAGGGGCGGCCUAUGGCAUAUUAUCUUUUUGGUGGGGUAAAGGCCUACCAGGGCCACUAUCUGUAGCUGGUCAGAGAAGACCACCCCCCACACUGGGACAGACACACGGCCCACACUCCUACGGGAGGCAGCAGUGGGGAUUUUUGGACAAUGGGGGCCACCCUGAUCCAGCAGUGCCGCGUGUGUAAAGAGCGCCUUCGGGUUGUAAAGCUUUUUUGUCCGGAAAGAACACCCUCCCCCUAAUAUGGUGGUGGGAUGACUGUACCGGAAGAAUAAGCACCGGCUAUCUACGUGCCAGCAGCCGC